Molecule: ribosomal RNA, 253 nt
Filed under: uncultured bacterium
Lineage: Bacteria
Description: partial 16S ribosomal RNA
Rfam family: Bacterial small subunit ribosomal RNA
Source: RNAcentral
UACGUAGGGUGCGAGCGUUAAUCGGAAUUACUGGGCGUAAAGGGCGCGUAGGCGGCCUUCUAAGUCGAACGUGAAAUCCCCGGGCUCAACCCGGGAACUGCGUCCGAUACUGGAAGGCUUGAAUCCGGGAGAGGGAUGCGGAAUUCCAGGUGUAGCGGUGAAAUGCGUAGAUAUCUGGAGGAACACCGGUGGCGAAGGCGGCAUCCUGGACCGGCAUUGACGCUGAGGCGCGAAAGCCAGGGGAGCAAACGGG